This 102-nucleotide Y RNA is filed under the name Microcebus murinus (gray mouse lemur). RNAcentral's name for it is "Y RNA (ENSMICG00000047798.1)". It matches the Rfam family "Y RNA". From Rfam's summary of the family: Y RNAs are components of the Ro ribonucleoprotein particle (Ro RNP), in association with Ro60 and La proteins. Lineage: Eukaryota; Metazoa; Chordata; Mammalia; Primates; Cheirogaleidae. The record is from Rfam by way of RNAcentral.
GGCUGGUCUGAGAGCUGUGGUAUGUACAACUGAUUGAUCAUAGCCAGUUACAGAUUCCUUUGUUGCUUCUCCACUCCCACGGCUUCAUUUGACUAGCCUUAA